CCUACGGGGGGCAGCAGUGGGGAAUAUUGCACAAUGGGCGCAAGCCUGAUGCAGCCAUGCCGCGUGUGUGAAGAAGGCCUUCGGGUUGUAAAGCACUUUCAGCGGGGAGGAAGGCGUUAAGGUUAAUAACCUUGUCGAUUGACGUUACCCGCAGAAGAAGCACCGGCUAACUCCGUGCCAGCAGCCGCGGUAAUACGGAGGGUGCAAGCGUUAAUCGGAAUUACUGGGCGUAAAGCGCACGCAGGCGGUCUGUCAAGUCGGAUGUGAAGUCCCCGGGCUCAACCUGGGAACUGCAUUCGAAACUGGCAGGCUAGAGUCUUGUAGAGGGGGGUAGAAUUCCAGGUGUAGCGGUGAAAUGCGUAGAGAUCUGGAGGAAUACCGGUGGCGAAGGCGGCCCCCUGGACAAAGACUGACGCUCAGGUGCGAAAGCGUGGGGAGCAAACAGGAUUAGAUACCCCUGUAGUC
Molecule: ribosomal RNA, 465 nt
Filed under: uncultured Klebsiella sp.
Lineage: Bacteria; Pseudomonadati; Pseudomonadota; Gammaproteobacteria; Enterobacterales; Enterobacteriaceae
Description: bacterial SSU rRNA
Rfam family: Bacterial small subunit ribosomal RNA
Source: RNAcentral